Molecule: long non-coding RNA, 2684 nt
Organism: Ricinus communis (castor bean)
Lineage: Eukaryota; Viridiplantae; Streptophyta; Magnoliopsida; Malpighiales; Euphorbiaceae
Exons: 3
Source: RefSeq, a predicted model, not a curated record
AAGCCCUCUUGACCCGAGCUCUUCUCUUCCAUAAUAUCUCCUAAACCCAAACAAACUCCUGUUUUAAUCGGGGAAAAGCCACCUGAGAUUGGCAAUAUGGAAUAUGAUGGCCUUCCUAGCGCGGACCCAAAUGAUGAGGAUUAUGAAGCUUCACAGGGAGAGUACUCUACUCUAAUUCUGAUGAGGGCGAUCAUGGUUUCAUAACUGUAAGGAUUUAUUAUUCUCAUUUCUUUAUUCUUUACUGUAAUUAUAUUCUAGCAUUUACGUUUUUGUAGUUUUGUAGUUUUAUUUUUUAGCUAAUUUGUUUAUAGCUGGUAGUUACAGGUUUCUAUCCUUUUGUAGUGGUGGCACUAUGAACUUGCAGCUAAAAAUUCCUUUUUGCUUGUAUAUAUUCAUACCUCCUGUACAGUUUUUAGCAGCUGAAUGAAAUCAGUCAUUUUUGCUCAGAUUCUAUUCUUUCAUAUUGCUCUUUUGUUCAUGGUAUCAAAGCCUGAAAUCUGAUACUCUUUAAUAUUUCCCACUCUACACGAUUGUUGUUUUCUUUAUGGCUGAUAGAGAAGAGACUCCUACUAGCGUAGAGACAGAAAAUGGGUCUAGAACCGGUAAUAUUACCAGAGAGCAAACCUCCAGCAAAUAUUGAUGAUCCUAUAUAUCUGAAUCAUUCAGAUCACCCAGGGUUAUAGAAGAGAAGGUAUAGGUAGAGGUCAAUACGAGAGUGCAAACAGAAAGGGUGGAUAUACUGGAACAGGAAGGAGAGGAUAUGAAAAGCUAAGCGAAGAAAAGGGAGAGUCCAAGCAUUAUGAUUACUGUGAUAGGGGAUGGUCACAUAAGGGACACAUGCUUCAAGCUGCAUGGAUUUCCAAAAUGGUACAAAGAGCUCAAAGAGCAAAGAUAGAAGAUAGGAAGCAGGGCAGCAGUUAUUAUGGCAGACUCACCUCUUGAUCUUGCAGAAGACACAUCUACAGAAAAAGGCUCACACUCAGGACACGAGUCAACUGACCAGCCUUUUUCAAUAAGAACUUAUGAAAAUUAUUAAAGGGAAACAUUCGGAUGCUAGCCAUGUGAACUUUACACACCUACUGGAUUAUGCAGGAAAGAAAGCUAUAGGCUCAAAGUGGGUCUUUAAACUUAAAUUAAAUCCCGAUGGAAGCAUUGACAGAUAUCAAGCCGGUUAAUAGCUAAGGGCUAUAACCAGGUGGAAGGAGUUGAUUACAAUGAGAGUUUUUCACCAGUGGCCAAACUAACUAUUGUAAGAUUGUUCAUUGUUGUUACAACUGCAAAGACCUGGCUUCUUCAUCAAUUGGACAUAAAAAACGCCUUUUUACAUGGUUGUUUGGAAGAAGAAGUCUAAUUGCUACCUCUAUAAGGAUAUAAGAAGGUUGUUCCAGGUUAGGUUUACAGGCUGCAAAAGUCCUUGUAUGGCGUCAUACAGGCAUCAAGGCAAUGGAAUCAAGAAUUUUGCAAUGAAUUAAAGCUUUUUGGCUUUGUUCAACUAGCAAAUGACCAUUGUCUAUUCAUCAAGCAUUCAGAUAAGUCUUUUCUAGCCCUAUUAGUUUAUAUUGAUGGUGUUCUGCUUACUAAAAAUUCAAAGAUAGAAAUUGAUCUUGUGAAGAAGUUCUUGCAUCAACAAUUUACUAUUAAAGAUAUGGAAAAUGCUAGAUAUUUUUUGGUCUUGAGAUUGCAAGAAGUGCAGCAGGUAUUUACAUAACUCAAAAUACGCUCUUGAUAUAAUUCAAGAUGCAGGGCUUCUGGGAGCAAAACCUACUGCUACAUCUCUUCCAAAAGGGUUCAAAUUCUCUCAAACUCCUACUCCUCUGUCUGACCCUGAUAAAUAUCAAAGAUUGGUGAGCAGACUUCUCUACCUCAACUUGUCUUGCCCUGACAUUACGUAUGUUGUACUUCAACUAAGUCAGCAUGUAAAACUCACCUUGCCAAGAUCAUUGGGAUGCAGCCACCUACCUUUUUAGAUAUCUAAAAGGUUGUCCAUCAAAUGGAUUGUUCUUUUCUAGUUCUAACUCUCUUCAGCUAGAAGAUUUUUUAUAAUGUUGAUUGGGCCUCAUGUACACAAACUAGAAGAUCUUUAACUGGUUACUGUGUAUUUCUCGAUUCAGCGCUCAUUUCAUGGAAGACAAAAAAGCAGACUGUUGUAUCAAGAUCAUUAAUUGAGGCUGAAUACCGUAGUCUUAACAGCACAGUUUGUAAGCUUCAGUGGCUAUCCUAUUUGCUUAAAGACUUUAGUAUUUCCUUACAGCUUCCCAUCUCUCUCCAGUGCGACAACCAAGCAAUAAUGCACAUAGUUCAUAAUCCAGUCUUCCAUGAACAAACUAAGCACUUAGAGAUUGACUAUCACCUGGUUCAUGAUCAAUAUAAGAAGGUUUUGUGCAGCCUCUUUAUAUGUCCCCUCAAAACCAAUUGGCUGAUGUUUGCAAAAGCUUUGGCAGGUCCUCAAUUCUAUGCAUUAUUGUCCAAGUUAGGGUUGAUUGAUCUUCAUCAACCUCCAACUUGAGGGGGGAUAUAAAGAUUUAUUAUUCUCAUUUCUUUAUUAUUUACUGUACUUAUAUUCUAGCAUCUACAGUUUUGUAGUUUUGUAGUUUUAUUUUUAGCUAAUUUGUUUAAUAGCUAGUAGUUAGAGGUUCCUAUCCUUUCGUAGCGGUGGCACUAUGAGAUGGCAGCCAAAAAUUUCC